Monodelphis domestica (gray short-tailed opossum) is the source of this 10548-nucleotide long non-coding RNA. RefSeq lists it as uncharacterized. The record is from RefSeq and is a predicted model, not a curated record. NCBI's taxonomy places the organism in Eukaryota, Metazoa, Chordata, Mammalia, Didelphimorphia, Didelphidae.
ACCCCCAGCCUCAGGCCUAUCAAGGCCGCCUGAGACAGGCCCUGGCCUACUGAUCUGCUCAUCUCAUUCUUCCCGGUUCAGAGAUGCAUGGCUCCUCCUCAUACCUAGGCCUUGUCCAGAUAGCUAGAGGCCAAGAAGCAGCAGAGAAGUCCCAAAUGUGCCCUUCUCUCCUGUAUUCUUUGGCUAAGAACCUUAUUUUUCACUCUAUGGCAAUGCUUUUUUCCUGCAUUCUCUGCCAUCCUAUAUCCCUGGGCACCUGGUCUCCUAAUGGAGAAGGAAGAAUUGGCAGACAUAAAUUAUCUGUUUCCCUCAAAAGAAAAAACAAAAAACCUGAAGAACUCUAAAGUUAAUAAGAACUGGAGGAGGCAGGGAUCUUAUCUUGGCUCAGGUAAGUCAUGUCAAAUAGCACUAAGUGCCUUCUAUAUGCUAGACACUGUGCUAAGUGCCACAAGAAAGCAGGCAGGAAGGAAAAUCAGAGAUUUAAGAGUUUUUUUUUUAACCCUUACCUUCUGUCUUAGAAUCAAUACUAUGUAUUGGUAUUCUAUCUUAGAAUCAAUACUGUGUAUUGGCUCUAAGGCAGAAGAGGAAGAAAGGCUAGACAAUGGGGGUUAAGUGACUUGCCCAGGGUCCCACAGCUAGGAAGUGUCUGAGGCUAGAUUUGAACCUUGGACCUCCUGUUUCUGGGUCUGGAUCUCAAUCCACUGAGCCACCCAGCUGCCCCUAAGAGUUUUCUUUAGCUGGAAAAAGUGGACUUUAUAUGCAGUUUUGAAACUGGUUAAGAACAGACUUCUUAAAGAAACCAAAACAAAAAUGUCAGCCAGGUUGAGUGAAGCCAGUGAAAAUUGUCUGGUUCUAAGACCUAGCCGAGAUGGUCCCUGUGACUGACUUCUUAAGUUGGCAUCUCCAAAGGACCAUGCAGCCAGUAGAAUAAGGACCCAACAGAGGAACAUGAAUUUGCUGGGACAGCAGAUUCCUCAUAAGGAAGAAUCCCCUAAAGUACAGAUUCCUGGGGGGCAGAUUUGUUUCAGUUUUGACUUUUGUGUCCUUGGUACCAUGAACAUAUUAUAGCACUUAAUGUUCAUUUAAUAAUUAAAUGAACCAUGGCUUGAUUUAAUGGUGGGAUGAGCCAGGCCCCCAGAAAGCUAGGGCCUGGAGACUCCUCAGAGACUGCCCCUCAGUCAGGAAUAGGACAGAUAAUCAGGAAAAGCCCCAGAAGCAAUCCAGAAGCAGAUGUGUGCAGAGAUGGAUAGUUGGCAACAAGUCAAUGGCCGUCAUUGGGUUUAGAAUCUACCAAAAGAGAAUAUAGGUCACAGGUUCAAUUGCAGAGAGCAGAGGCCUAGCCAGGCUUUUACAGCCCUUUACAACGCGGCCCCAACCCACCUUUGCAGCCUCAUUAUACGUUACUUUCUGAACAACCCCCUAUUUGAACUGACCUUCUUGCUCUUUGUUGCUCACCUCAAACAUUCCAUCUUUCAUUUCUAGACCUUUGUACUUCCCCUCAUGCCCCGCAUGCACUCCCUCCUCACCUCUGCUUUAUAGAAUCCCUCAUCACUUUCAAGACUCAACUCAGGGGUCAUAUAGGUGACUCAGUGCGUAGAGAGCCAGGCCUGGAGUCAGGAGGUCCUGGGUUCAAAUUUGGUCUGAGAGGGGUGGGUGUAUCACUGUGAGGAAACCAAGACAGGGACUGGAGGGAGGAAACUGGAAGGAGCCCAAGAUAGAGACCUUGCAUACAGGUGUGCAAGGCAGGAACUUGGUUAAGAUAUGGACAAGGCAGCAGCCAGGAAAAUUUAGUUCUCUGGUAUUAGACCGCUGGUAUCAAAAUUCUUCAAUUUCCCUUGACCAGCAAUAGUAAGACCUUGUGUUGAGCACUUUCAUGGUCAUCUUUUUCUUCAUUUGAUCCUCCCACUAACCUUUUUGCAAAGGAAACCAAUUAUAUUGAGAUGAAGAAAUUAUUUUUUUAACCUGUGGACCCACCUUAAAGACCUUGAUCUAAAUAAAAGAUUAUUGUUCAUCCUUUUCCAAGAGAACCCGUUACCUCACGGGGUGAUGUCUUGAUUUGUGUGUAAAUUAGAUUUAAAUGAGGCAGAUUGCACAGUUUUCAGCCUUACUCCCUCUCCCAGAGCACUGAAGUCCAGUGACAAGACGACAGACAGAAAGGCCCCUUGUAAGCAUGUUGCCCCAACAGUACCUGGCUCCACUGAGGCCCCAGAAAUGCCGCCAGAGCUGACUGUCAUGUUGUUGAUGGGUGGAAUCACCCUGUAAUUCCUUUCAAUAAACAUUAAGCAUCUACUCUGGUAGUACAAGGUGCUGCAGACACAAAUAGGAAAAAUGAUAUGUUCCUUGCCCUCAAGAAGCUUACAGUCUAAUUGGGGGUGGACAUGAGACUUACAUAUUAAUAACCAUAAUACAAGUUGGAAAAUGAUUAAGUGAGCAAGAUUAGUCAAACUGGAUAGACUGGAUAAUUCAAGGAGGGAAGAAUAACUUCUAUCUGGAGUUUUGAAUAGAGAAAAUGGCACUAAAUUCGGACCCUAAAGGAAGGGAACGUUCUCAGUAGGAAGAAUUUAGAGGAAUCCAUUCUAGGCAGGAGAGGGCAGGAUAAGAUCACAGAACAGCGAAUAAUCCAGUUUGACCAGAACAUAAAAUACACAAAAAGAGGCCCUAAGAUGUGGCUAUAAAAGGGAGCUGGAACCAGAUGGCCAAGGGCUUUAAAUGUCAGGCUUAUGAGUUUGUAUUUUAUUAAGUGGCCAAAUGGGGACUCCCUGCAUGUUUUUUAAGCACAGCAGUGAUGUAAUGAGCAUUAGGAAGAUGACUUUAGAAGCAGGGUAGUACAGAGGUAUGAAACAUGGCAUCUGACCAUGCUUUGAACUAGCAACACUCCCCAGCAAGGCCUGAAACAGAUUAAAAUGGAAUUGGGAAAUAGUUCACAAAAUAAAAAUACAUUAGAAUAUAGAUAAUGUUAAUAUGUGGUUUUCUAAGUCAAUAUGGGCCACAUGUCACUCUUUUCUAUUUGAGUUUUUAUUUUAAUUUAAAAAAACCCUUUCCUUUGUCUUAAAAUCAGUACUAAGUAUUGGUUCCAAAGCAGAAGAAUAGUAAGAGCUAGGCAAUUGAGGUUAAGUGACUUGCCCAGGUUCUCAUAGCUAGGAGGCAUCUGAAAUCAGAUUUGAACCCAGGACCUCCUGUCUCCAGGUCUGGCUCUCUAUCCACUGAGCUACCUAGUUGCCCUUCUAUUUGUGCUUAAUUCCACUAGUGUGGAAGAUAGGGAAGAGAUGGGAAAGACAAGAGACCAGCAACCAGUUCAAAACCCAUCAUAAUAAUAGUCCAAGGGAGAUUUGAUGAGGAACUGAAUUUAGGGGUGGCAGCAACAUCAACAGAAAGGAACAGUUAGACAGGAGAGACAUUUCAGAGGAACACAACAAGACUUUUUGUUGGAAUUUAAUGGAAUCAAGAGGAACAAGGAACAAGGAAGGAAUCAAAGUUAGCUGCAUUUCCAAACUCAUGUGACAUGGGGGAUUUCAACAGAAAUAGGGAAGUUUAGAGAAAGGGAAAAUUUGGGAGGAAAGUUGAUGAGUCUAGUUUUAACCAUACUGAGUUUGGGGUAUCAGCAUGACACUCAAGAGGAAAUAGGCAAUAGGAAGUUCUUGGGGUUUUUGCUUUUAUUUUUUAAAAAAAGACACCUUACCUCCUGUCUUGGAAUACUGUGUAUUGGUUGGAAGAGUGGUAAGGGCUAGGCAAUGGGGGUUAAGUCACUUGCCCAGGGUCACACAGCUGGGAAGUGUCUGAGGUCAGAUUUGAACCUAAGACCUUCUGUCUCUAGGCCUGGAGCUCUAUCCACUGAGCCAUCCACCUGCCCCUGGUUUUUUGUUUUUAAACCCUUACCUUCUGUCUUAGAAUUGAUACUAAAUAUUGGGUUCUAAGGCAGAAGAACAGUAAGGGCUAGGGAAUUGGGGUUCAGUGACUUGCCCAAGUUAUACAGCUAGGAAGUGUCUGAGGCCAGCUUUAAACCCAGGACCUCUCUUCUCUGAGCCUGGCUCUCUCUCCACUUAGUCACCUAGCUUGCCUCUGGCAGUGAGAAGUUUAAAGUACUAGAGUAAAAGUACAUUUGAGGCAGAGAUGGUAACUCAGGUUGUGACAGUAGCUAAGAUUAUCAGAAGAGAAGAUGUAACAGAAAGAGAGGGAUGAAGACCAGAGUCUUUCAGGGAUAGGAAGAAGAAGGACCAGCUAAGGAAGUCAAGGGAGCAGUCAGAGAGGAAGUCAAGAGAACAGUGUGAUAGAAACCAAUAGAUGAGGGAAUAUAGGAAGGGAAAGCUUCUUCUAAAUUUUCAAAACAGCAUUCAUUAUGUGUAAUUAUAAAAAAAAAAACAGAAGCAGCCUAAAAGUCCAAAAACAGGGGAAAUGGUUAGAGAAAUUGUGGCACAUGCAUAUAAGGGAAUACUAUAAGGCAACUAAGGUAGAUAAGUAUAAGAAAUACAAAGAGAUACAGAAAGACAUUUAUAAAAUAAUGCAAAGAAAAAAAACAGAAAAAUAGAGCACACAAUAACAAAAAGCAUACAAAUAUGAUCCAUUAAAGCUCAGGACCUGAGGUUACUGACGACUUAUUAGGGAGGUACAAGUUAGCCCUUGAAUGGAUCAUAAAGGAAACAGUGCGGUUGGAUGAUGAGGUCAUGAUUCAGGGUAACCAGAGAAAUCAGUUCACUGAGUUGAGGAGGCAGAGGAGCUCAACUCUCAAUGGAUAAACAAAAGAAGCAUGAUGCUGGAGAAACGGAAGCCUGUUUCUCCACAGAAAGUCACAUCACACAGAUCACAGCCACCUCAAUAAAAGGAGCCAGGACUGGGGUAGAGGGUGAGACUGGCUGGGGCUGAUUGAGCAUGAGUACCAGUUGUUUAUAUUGAUUUGAGAGUUAGACUAUAAAGAAACCUGAGUGCCACAGAAUGGAUGCUUUUGAAUUGUGGCUCUGGAGAAGACUUUUGCGUCUCCUGGACAGCAAGCAGAUCAAAUCAGUCAAUACUUAAAUUAAUUAAUUCAGAGGUCAGAUACUGAAGCUUUAAUACUUUGACCACAUAAUAAGAAGGUAGGACUCACUGGAAAAGAACCUGAUGUUGGAAAAAACUGAAGGCAAAAGGAAAAGAAGAUGGCAGAGGAUGAGAUGGAUAGAGAGUGUCAUGGAAGCAACAAACAUAACUUGGACAGACUUCUAGAGACAGUGGAGGAUAGAGGGACCUGGAGUACUAUGGCCCAUGGGGUCUAGAAAAGCUGGACAUGAAUGAAUGACUGAACAACAAGAGAAUGGUGAUCUGAAAGAGAAGAAAUUGAAUCUAAGAGAGUGAUAGGAAUUAGGUCAUGGAAGAGUUAGCAGGGAAGGCUAUCAAAGUUAUAAGUGGAGCAUUUGGAUUGGUGAGGUGGAGGUGAUAUUAGAGGGAAGGAAAAGAGGGUGAGAAAAGACAGAGGUUUUGAUUAUGAAGCAAUGGAGUUGUGGGAACUUAAAUAAUAUAGCCUUCAUCUCAAAAGGGAGGGUUAAGCUUAGCAUAAAGUUUAGGGUUUUAGUAGGAAAAAGAGUGAAUAGCCACUAUGAGGAAUUUGUAGAAAAUUUGGAGAAUUUGUGGAAGUGAAUAAAAAAGAUUGCCAUUCAGCAGUGAGAACCCCCUGGAGAUCAGAUAAUAUGAAUUUGGAAUAAUUCCAAUAAGCAGAGACUUUUUCCUGCUCAGGAAAAGGUAUAAAAAGAAUAUUGGGAUAAAUAAUAUAUAGGAUUGGAAAUCAGCAGAGCAGGAGUAGGAAAAGGGGCAAGGGAGCAAGGACAAGGGUAGAAUCAACUAUGCUAUUGAAACGGAUGUCCAUAGAGAUUAACUAUGAAAAAUGGGAAGUAAAUCCAGAACACAGAAAUCAUGAAGUGUAGAGCAAGGACCCUGGGCAAGCUACUUAACCUCCAUUGCCUAGCCCUCACUGCCUUGGAACCAAUAUGUAGCAUUGAUUCUAAGAUGAAAGGUAAGGGUUUAAAAAAAAAGCGAAAAACAGGAAUAAGGAUAAACAAGAGUUUGAUGGAGAGAAGCAUUUUUGAGAAGAGAAUCUAAGAACAACCUUGUGAAGCAAACAGCCAUAAAAGAAAGACCAACCAGGAUUGUGGAGGGUAUUGAGAGCUGCGAUAAGCUCAGGGGAAACUUUGAUAUCAGUUAGUGUGAAUAGGAGAAAGAUGUAGAAUGUAUUGACAGCGGAAUAGGUAUUCCAGAAGGCAUAAUGGAAAAGAUUGAAAGAGAGAAAUAGGCAUUGGGAAAGUGUAGGACAAAGGCAGAAUAGAUAUUAAGGAAGUACUAUCGGGGGAAAUACAGGUAUACUUCAUUUUGUGAUGCUUACUGUAUUGCAUUUCAUAGAUAAGGCUUUUUUUUACAAAUUGAAGGUUUGUGGCAACCCUAUAUCAAGCAAGUCUACUGUCGCCAUUUUUCUAAUAGCAUGUGCUCAUGCUAUGACUGGCACAUUUUGGUGAUUCUCAAAUUAUUUCAAAUUUUUCAUUAUUAUAUGUUAGGAUGAUCUAUGAUGUGUGAUCUUUGAUGUUACUAUUAUAAUUGUUUUAGGGCCCCACAAAUUACAUCCACAUAUGAUGAUUAAUUUAAUCUAUAAAUGUUGUAUGUGUUCUGACUACUCCACCAACAGACUAUUUCCUCUCUCCCUCUCUGUCUGUCUGUCUGUCUGUCUCUGUCUUUGUCUCUGUCUCUGUCUGUCUGUCUCUGUCUCUGUCUCUGUCUUUCUCUUUUCCUUCCCCACCUCACUUGGGCCUCUUGUUCCCCUGAGACACAACAAUAUUGAAAUUAGGCCAAUUAAGAACACUACAAUGACCUACAAGUGUACAAGUGAAAGUAAGAGUCAAUAAGGCAGACUUCAUUGUUGUCUUAUUUUAAGAAGUUGCCACAGGCACCCCGGCCUUCUGCAGCCAUCAUCCUGAUCAGUCAGCAGCCAUUAACACAGAAGCAAAAAGAUCAUGUCUCAGUGAAGGUUCAGAUGAUGGUAGCACUUUUUAGCAAUAAAGAAUUUUAAAUUAAGGUAUGUCCUUUUUUAGGCAUAAUACUAUAUCGCACACUUAACAGACUACAGUAGACUGUAAACAUAACUUUAAUAUGCACUGAGAAACCAAAACAUUCAUGUGCCUCACUUAAUUGCAAUAUUUACUUUAUUGCAGUGGUCUGGAACACAACACACGAUAUCUCGGAGGUAUGCUUGUAGUUUGUACCCAGAAAAGUAGUGGUUUCAUAUGACAUAAAUUAGAAGAACAGGUUACACUAGAUGGAUGCCUUAGCCAUAGGGAGAGGACCCACAAGGCAAAAGUUAACAGAGCAAACAAGGCCCAGACUUCUCUAAGGUUUCAGUCCCAGUUCUGCACAGGGUUCUGCAUCCAUGGUUUUGCACCAGGCAUGUACUGUACUAGUCCCCAACCUUUCUGAAUUGCCUCCUUUAGGUGGUGGUAUUAGUAGUUUCAACUGGGAUAAGACCAGUGAUGUUGGGGUGGGAGAGGUGGAAAGGCGAGAAACACACAGCUCAUCCCAGACUUAACUGCAUGGUGUCUCCAAGGUAGAAUCUCCUCUUACGAGUCAAAAGGCGUUUGCAGAAACUCUGGGAGAUGGAGGUUGGGUCCUAGGGCCUGACUCCUCUCUGUGAGUUGUGUCUGAUGAAUUGUGAUAGUUGAUAAAACCUCAAAUAAGUCUUGGGAAUCCAAAUGGAGGCUAGACUAAGACAUUCUCAAAGCUGAGGAGGACAGAAAUCCAUGGGUCUGGUUUCUCCCCAGUAUAAAUGUCAGGGGUGUGGAUUUUUCCUGGAGCUCUCAUCUUCUCCAGGACUGAAGAUUGAGUGUUCAUGAACACAAAUGGCUCAGUGUCCUACCUCAUCGCUGUCAGCAGGGUUCUGAGAAUCCCUGAGUUCCUCUCUUCAAAAGAAGUGAAGGGACUAGUCUAAGGUCACUAAGCUCCAGGAAUAAUGCUAUGAUCCCAACCUUCUAACCUCCAGCUCCAGAUUCUUGCUAAGAAGCCUAGGCCAUUCUGUACUGGCCAUAACUAUGGCUUGGCUCUUGGAAUGUCUUCUGAAAUCUUUGUUAUUAAGAUAUAAACUCUACAGUCCCAGGCACUUGAGGAUUUGUCUCUCUGCCGAUAAAAGCCCCAUAAAAGGCAAAGAUUGUAACAGAGUUCGUAGAAAUCCUUGAAUCAGAAUUGUCUAGCCUUAUUUUGGGAUUUUGAAAUAACCUUCCUUAGUACAGCCUCAUGGCAUUAAAGGGCUUCACAGGAUUACUGUCUGUGAGUUAAAGUCAGGCUGUUGAGAGGAAAAUUCCUUUUGCUUGUUAAGAGGUAAAAUUACCUCUUCCCUACUUCAAAUUCUGAGGAGCUCUGACCACUAGCUCUCCCUCUGCCCAGGUGGUUCUCCAGUCCAGGGGCUCGAGCUUGCUCUACACUAAAUCUAACUCAUAGGCUGUCUAUGAUUUCUCCAUCCUUGUAGCGAACUCCUGAGGGCCAGGUUGUUUUUAAACUCUUCCAUCUUAGAGUCAAUACUGUGUAUUGGUUCCAAGGCAGAAGGGCAGUAAGGGCUAGGCAAUGAGGGUCAAGUGACUUGCCCAGGGUCACACAGCUAGGAAGUGAACCCAGGGUGUCCCAUCUCUAGGCCUGACUAGCCAUCCAGUUGCCCUAGGGUCAGGCCUUUGAUCUCAUCUUCAGGUCUGAAUAAGAGAGAUGGUCAUAGCUACACAUUGUCCACCCCUAUACAAACAAUUGUUUCCCUAGCAGUGGCCAGGAGCUGUCCAUAGCUGAAGCUCAUUCAGAAGAACAGGCCAGGUUCAGCCCUAGUCAACAGAGUUCAAAAGGACAACACUAGCGUCACACUAAGCAAAUUGGAAUUGGAUACAGAUCUCUUUAUAUAAGCUCAAACCUGUCUGGGUCUCUGGUUUCCAGAGCUCCUGCCAAAGUCUUGUUUUUGACCCCCAGAUCCUGACACCAUCCCAUUGUUACAUGUGCCUUCAGAGGGUGGGCAUUCCUGCCUGCCUGGCUCUCACUCCUGCUUGCUUGUUAGUUGCUCAGAUAAUGAGCCUUCUGGCCUGAAUGACCCACCUUUGGUUUCCAGUCUUUCUCUAACCGGGCCUAUAGCUCCAUCCAGACCAGGAAAAUAAAUAAGAUGAAAUGGGACAAGUUUCUAGAAGAGAUCAUCUAGAAGAGAAGGGCAUAAGUAGGCGAGAGAUGGGCAAGGAGAAAGGCCACCUCUUCCUCAGAGACAGGAGAGUAAAAAGGUAAUGAAUUUUGUGGUAUAGACUAAGUGAAAUGAGAAAGCUCGCAAUGAAUGGUCUUGAUUUUUUCAGUAAAGUCCGAUAGGAAGAAAUUUGUUGGAGAGGUGAAGUCGGCAGAAGAGCCACUGGGAGAGAGAGAACGACCCACUUAGGGGAGUGGAAUGGAGAGACAGUCAUGGAAAAAUAAAAGGAGCCCUUAGCCACAGCCCGGUCCCAGUUGAGAUUGGAGAACAUGAAUUCCUAUGGAUGUGUUUAGCAUGACAAUGUGUGUCUUUCUCCAGGAAGCAUUCACCCAUGUUAGGAAAUAGCCCAAGCCAGAGUCCAGAGAGAGCUGAUGAACCUUAAGACAGGCAGAGGGUGGGAGCCCUCCGAGAAGAAAGGAAUGGCCUAGUUGUACAUAUGAUUCCUUUCAUUUGGACUGUUGCCUCACCAUGUGUGCUAGGUGUUGAGAGAAAGAAGAGAUCAUGGUGUUCAGGGAUGACUUCCUGGAGGAGGCACUAAGGAACCAAAGACAAAAGUGAAAGCCACUACUCCGUUCUAGCAGGGAAAAGAGCCUGUGCACAUAUAAGUCAAUGUAAAGUAAAAAAAAGAAAAGAAGAGAAAAGAAAAGGAGGGAAUGAUAGCAGUAAAGACCAGUAUCACAGAAGGAGCACCAAACUGGAAGUGAGGAAAUCUAGGUUCUAGUUCAGCCUGGUCCUGCCAUUAACCAGCUCCUCCAGCACUGGCCAGUAAUGCCACCUUGAGUGAACCCCUACAAGCCUCGGUUGCCUCGCCUUCACGAUCUCAAGGGUCUCUGGCAGUCCUGAGAGUCUACAUACUCAGUCACCGAGGCAAGAAGGGGCAGAGCAUGGUGGGGGAGAUUUUGUGUGAGUUGGGAAAGGAAUGAAGUAAAGAUUGGCCAGAGCGUAGACAGCCUAGAAAGUCGGACUGAAAGGAGAUAGCUAGAUGGCUCGGUGGAUUGAAAGCCAGACCUAGAGACAGAAAGGAGCUCCAGGAUUCAUUUUUGGCCUCAGACGACAAGCCUAAUUGCUUAGCCCUUACCACUCCUGCCUUAGAAUACUUAGUACUGAUAGGAGUGUAAAAGCAAAGAAUAAAAGGAAGGAAGUUGGGCGGGAAAGGGGCUGUGCCCCACUCUGCAGAGGCUGCAUCUCUUGGUUGAGAUAGGACACAGCACCUCGUCCCUCGUCCCCCAUCCUCUGCACUCAUCCCUUCAUGCUUCACCGGCCACCGGUGUCGGGGGUGACGGCAGAGCUCUUGGUCCCUCUGAUGCGAGCCCAGAGUGAUCUGUCUCUCAUUUCCC